GUAUUUGUCACAACCAUUUCGCAUUUAAUUUUACUGUUUCUCCAUACGAUGACAGGGAAGUUGACGCUUACAUUUUUCCAUCGAUCAUUCUAACAGAAACACGUGUUGCGUGCGCAAAUACUUUAAUUUGGGUUUUAUAGUGAAGCUGCGCAAAAGGAGCUUACAUAGUUUGCAUUUGCAUUAGUAUGCCUGCCGCAUCGCCCGCUGCUUACGGAGGCUGUUUAAAAGGGACUUCCCCAGUGAUUUUUUUUAUAUAAAAGACGACAUUUGCGAAAAGCCUACUCUGCAGUUUACACUAUGAGUGAGGAGUUGAUACCAUCAACUGAGCUGUCGUUAUUUGCCGAGCAAUGUCCGUAGUGAGAUGAGUCCCCUACAACGAAAAAUGUCGACAAUGAGUCCGUAGUAAUUUUGGAUAGUGAUGAACAGUUAAUUAAUUUAUCGUGUUCGUGGGAUUUGUCGUCGAUCGCUCGAUAUAAUAUUGCAAAAGUUCUAGAUUAUUUCAUAUAUCAGAAGAAAUAUUUUUCUUUGGAAGCGUUUAACUAUAGAAAACAAUUAUUUGCUUAUGAUCCAUCUCACGUCAAAAGUUUAAGUAAUCUUUUAACGAAGGCUCAAAUUAUGACUAAUAAUAUUAAAAUGAACGCUUCUGAAAUGAAACUUUUUUUGAAUACUAUUUUGUUAAUGAUUGGGGACUUCAUAGAUGAAUUUUAUUCAGUAUAUAAAUUUUUAAUAACGUUUAUUAAAAUUGUUGAUAUUGUUAUGGAUGAGGAGUUCAGUGACAAUAUUUUGAAUGAGCU
Molecule: long non-coding RNA, 794 nt
Organism: Bactrocera dorsalis (oriental fruit fly)
Lineage: Eukaryota; Metazoa; Arthropoda; Insecta; Diptera; Tephritidae
Exons: 3
Source: RefSeq, a predicted model, not a curated record